Molecule: ribosomal RNA, 471 nt
Filed under: Diphasia delagei
Lineage: Eukaryota; Metazoa; Cnidaria; Hydrozoa; Leptothecata; Sertulariidae
Description: partial 16S ribosomal RNA
Rfam family: Bacterial large subunit ribosomal RNA
Source: RNAcentral
AAAAUUAAAAGGACGCGGUAACCUUGACCGUGAUAAUGUAGCAUAAUCAUUCGCCAUUUAAUUGAUGGAUAGUAUGAAUGGUUGAACGAAUAUUCCACUGUCUUAAAAAGAAAUAAAUAAAAAUUAGAAUAAUAGUAAAGAUACUAUUUAAUAUUGUAAGACGAAAAGACCCUAUAGAGCUUAACUAUAAUCUUCUUAUAUUUAAAGAAAACAUUUCAAAUAAUAAAAAGACUGGUAGUUUAGUUGGGGCGACUGUCUUUUAAAACAAACAAAGACAAGCAAAGUAAAUAAAAAAAACUUAUUGUAUAAUACAUUAAUUUAACAAUUAUAAAUAUAGGCUAUAAUGACCCGUUAUAAUUUAAUAAGAAAUAUAACGAUCAAUAAAUAAAAGCUACCUUAGGGAUAACAGGAUAAUUUUAUUCUAGAGAUCUAAUCGAAAAUAAAGUUUGUCACCUCUAUGUUGAAUUAAGA